This 254-nucleotide ribosomal RNA is filed under the name uncultured bacterium. RNAcentral's name for it is "partial 16S ribosomal RNA". It matches the Rfam family "Bacterial small subunit ribosomal RNA", at positions 524 to 776 of the family's 1533-position model. The record is from RNAcentral.
UACGUAGGUGGCAAGCGUUGUCCGGAUUUAUUGGGUUUAAAGGGUGCGUAGGCGGUCUUAUAAGUCAGUGCUGAAAUAUCCCGGCUUAAACCGGGAGGGUGGCAUUGAUACUGCAGGACUUGAGUAUAGUCGAGGUAGGCGGAAUUGACGGUGUAGCGGUGAAAUGCUUAGAUAUCGUCAAGAACACCGAUAGUGUAGACAGUUUACUAGGCUAUAACUGACGCUGAGGCACGAAAGUGUGGGGAUCAAACAGG